Molecule: long non-coding RNA, 895 nt
Filed under: Phaseolus vulgaris (common bean)
Lineage: Eukaryota; Viridiplantae; Streptophyta; Magnoliopsida; Fabales; Fabaceae
Description: long non-coding RNA (PVUL_LNC004527)
Source: RNAcentral
GACACUUGCUCCAAGUAAUCUCAGGAGUUUGGGUACUUUUCUGCUAGAAGAUGUUUUCCUGAGAUGGGCAGGUGGGCUAGACGGUCUGGUGGGGAGCUGGUGAGGAAGGUCAUAGUUCAAGGAAUAGAGGCUGUUGCACGAAAAUUUUGUUGUUGCUAGAAAGAUGAAUAAGUGUUAUCAUGUAGGACAAGUUUAACACUCUCCAGUUUGGUCCGUUGGUCUUUGGAUGCAAUGGAGUCUGUCAUGGUUGUAGGGUUAAUAUUCUGGGGGUAAAAUUUUGGUUACGUUACUCUUCAUCUAUGGUAACAGUAUAGAGGUUGGGGAAAAUGGCUGCCAAAGGGUAACAUGUUGAAGUUGUGGCUACCGAUGGAGCGACAGGAAAACUAUACAAAACAGCAGCAAGAAAAAAUAGUGUUGGCUAACUUUUUUUGUAGUUUUGCAAGUACAGUUUCUAUCUAAAUAUUCAAGGAAGUAGAAUGAUAGUUGAAGGCUAUGACCGUAUUGCAACUGCCAAGGAUCAAUAAAUCUGGAGAUUUUUAAGUGGUUGCCACGUGUGCUGAGGAGGGUGCAAACACCUAGUAGGUGAAGCUAGCUAUGGGAAACACGUAAGAAGAGGCUUGGCUGGAACGGAUGUAGGAAAGCUCAAUGGGCUGGGUUGUGCUACACUGCUGGGUACAAUUCUUUCUACGGGGAAUGUGAAGCUGUAUUAAUUACCCUCAUUUUUUUUGGAAUGGUGUACCCCACUUAUGAACUAUGCAGGUGUUUCAUUGUUUCUUUGUUUCUUUGGACCUCUAGCAUUGUUAGCCUGAGGCCCAAUAGCAAGGCUUCUCCAUCAUGUAGGUUUAGCUUUGGGGUUGGGGGAAUUACUAGUACAACUCUGUUUUCUUCUCUGGUG